GACGAACGCUGGCGGCGUGCUUAACACAUGCAAGUCGAACGGAAAGGCCCUGCUUUUGUGGGGUGCUCGAGUGGCGAACGGGUGAGUAACACGUGAGUAACCGGCCCUUGACUUUGGGAUAACUUCAGGAAACUGGGGCUAAUACCGGAUAGGAGCUCCUGCUGCAUGGUGGGGGUUGGAAAGUUUCGGCGGUUGGGGAUGGACUCGCGGCUUAUCGGCUUGUUGGUUGGGUAGUGGCUUACCAAGGCUUUGACGGGUAGGCGGCCUGAGAGGGUGAACGGCGACAUUGGGACUACGAUACGGCGCAGACUCCUACGGGAGGCAGCAGUGGCGAAUAUUGCCCAAUGGGCGGAAGCCUGAUGCAGCAACGCCGCGUGCGGGAUGCCGGCCUUCGGGUUGUAAACCGCUUUCGCCUGUGACGAAGCGUGAGUGACGGUAAUGGGUAAAGAAGCACCGGCUAACUACGUG
This 468-nucleotide ribosomal RNA is filed under the name uncultured bacterium. RNAcentral describes it as "partial 16S ribosomal RNA". It matches the Rfam family "Bacterial small subunit ribosomal RNA", at positions 28 to 507 of the family's 1533-position model. The record is from RNAcentral.